GAAUAUUGGACAAUGGGCGCAAGCCUGAUCCAGCAAUGCCGCGUGUGUGAAGAAGGCCUUCGGGUUGUAAAGCACUUUAAGUUGGGAGGAAAGCCUUUUCAUUAAUACUGAAGAGGGGUGACGUUACCAACAGAAUAAGCACCGGCUAACUCCGUUCCAGCAGCCGCGGUAAUACGGAGGGUGCAAGCGUUAAUCGGAAUUACUGGGCGUAAAGCGCGCGUAGGCGGUUUGUUAAGUCAGAUGUGAAAUCCCCGGGCUCAACCUGGGAAUGGCAUUUGAGACUGGCAGGCUAGAGUGUGGUAGAGGUGAGUGGAAUUUCAGGUGUAGCGGUGAAAUGCGUAGAGAUCUGAAGGAACAUCAGUGGCGAAGGCGACUCACUGGGCCAUUACUGACGCUGAGGUGCGAAAGCGUGGGUAGCAAACAGG
This 425-nucleotide ribosomal RNA is filed under the name uncultured bacterium. RNAcentral describes it as "bacterial SSU rRNA". It matches the Rfam family "Bacterial small subunit ribosomal RNA", at positions 359 to 776 of the family's 1533-position model. The record is from RNAcentral.